This 492-nucleotide ribosomal RNA is filed under the name uncultured bacterium. Its description in RNAcentral is "partial 16S ribosomal RNA". It matches the Rfam family "Bacterial small subunit ribosomal RNA", at positions 29 to 507 of the family's 1533-position model. The record is from RNAcentral.
AGUGGACGCUGGCGGUAGGCCUAACACAUGCAAGUCGAACGGCAGCACAGUAAGAGCUUGCUCUUACGGGUGGCGAGUGGCGGACGGGUGAGGAAUACAUCGGAAUCUACUUUUUCGUGGGGGAUAACGUAGGGAAACUUACGCUAAUACCGCAUACGACCUACGGGUGAAAGCAGGGGAUCUUCGGACCUUGCGCGAUUGAAUGAGCCGAUGUCGGAUUAGCUGGUUGGCGGGGUAAAGGCCCACCAAGGCGACGAUCCGUAGCUGGUCUGAGAGGAUGAUCAGCCACACUGGAACUGAGACACGGUCCAGACUCCUACGGGAGGCAGCAGUGGGGAAUAUUGGACAAUGGGCGCAAGCCUGAUCCAGCCAUACCGCGUGGGUGAAGAAGGCCUUCGGGUUGUAAAGCCCUUUUGUUGGGAAAGAAAAGCAGCAGGUUAAUACCCCGCUGUUCUGACGGUACCCAAAGAAUAAGCACCGGCUAACUUCGUG